CCCUUAGAGUUUGAUCCUGGCUCAGAAUCAACGCUGGCGGCGUGCCUCAGACAUGCAAGUCGAACGAUUAAAGCCCUCUUCGGAGGGUGCAUAAAGUGGCGCACGGGUGAGUAACACGUAAGUAAUCUACCUUCGAGUGGGGAAUAACGUUCGGAAACGGACGCUAAUACCGCAUAAUGCAGCGGCAUCGCGAGAUGACAGUUGUUAAAGAUUUAUCGCUUGAAGAGGAGCUUGCGGCAGAUUAGCUAGUUGGUAAGGUAACGGCUUACCAAGGCGACGAUCUGUAUCCGGUCUAAGAGGACGGUCGGACACACUGACACUGAAUAACGGGUCAGACUCCUACGGGAGGCAGCAGUCGGGAAUUUUGGGCAAUGGGCGAAAGCCUGACCCAGCAACGCCGCGUGAAGGAUGAAGUUUUUCGGAAUGUAAACUUCGUAAGAAUAGGAAGAAUAAAUGACGGUACUAUUUGUAAGGUCCGGCUAACUACGUGCCAGCAGCCGCGGUAAUACGUAGGGACCAAGCGUUGUUCGGAUUUACUGGGCGUAAAGGGCGCGUAGGCGGCAAUUCAAGUCAGCUGUGAAAUCUCCGGGCUUAACUCGGAACGGUCAGCUGAUACUGCUUUGCUAGAGUGCAGAAGGGGCAAUCGGAAUUCUUGGUGUAGCGGUGAAAUGCGUAGAUAUCAAGAGGAACACCUGAGGUGAAGACGGGUUGCUGGGCUGACACUGACGCUGAGGCGCGAAAGCUAUGGUAGCAAACGGGAUUAGAUACCCCGGGUAGUCCUAGCCCUAAACG
Molecule: ribosomal RNA, 792 nt
Filed under: uncultured bacterium
Lineage: Bacteria
Description: bacterial SSU rRNA
Rfam family: Bacterial small subunit ribosomal RNA
Source: RNAcentral